UACGAAGGGGGCUAGCGUUGCUCGGAAUCACUGGGCGUAAAGGGUGCGUAGGCGGGUCUUUAAGUCAGGGGUGAAAUCCUGGAGCUCAACUCCAGAACUGCCUUUGAUACUGAAGAUCUUGAGUUCGGGAGAGGUGAGUGGAACUGCGAGUGUAGAGGUGAAAUUCGUAGAUAUUCGCAAGAACACCAGUGGCGAAGGCGGCUCACUGGCCCGAUACUGACGCUGAGGCACGAAAGCGUGGGGA
This 244-nucleotide ribosomal RNA is filed under the name uncultured bacterium. RNAcentral's name for it is "partial 16S ribosomal RNA". It matches the Rfam family "Bacterial small subunit ribosomal RNA", at positions 524 to 767 of the family's 1533-position model. The record is from RNAcentral.